UUUCGGAGCCAGGUAACGAUCCUGGGACCAUUGGGUUAUGAGCCCAUUGCUCUACCACUGAGCUACUCCGAA
RNAcentral lists this transfer RNA (72 nucleotides) under Bigelowiella natans. RNAcentral describes it as "tRNA-Met". Lineage: Eukaryota; Cercozoa; Chlorarachniophyceae. The record is from RNAcentral.